RNAcentral lists this transfer RNA (85 nucleotides) under Felis catus (domestic cat). It matches the Rfam family "tRNA". From Rfam's summary of the family: Transfer RNA (tRNA) molecules are approximately 80 nucleotides in length. Their secondary structure includes four short double-helical elements and three loops (D, anti-codon, and T loops). Further hydrogen bonds mediate the characteristic L-shaped molecular structure. tRNAs have two regions of fundamental functional importance: the anti-codon, which is responsible for specific mRNA codon recognition, and the 3' end, to which the tRNAs corresponding amino acid is attached (by aminoacyl-tRNA synthetases). tRNAs cope with the degeneracy of the genetic code in two manners: having more than one tRNA (with a specific anti-codon) for a particular amino acid; and 'wobble' base-pairing, i.e. permitting non-standard base-pairing at the 3rd anti-codon position. Lineage: Eukaryota; Metazoa; Chordata; Mammalia; Carnivora; Felidae. RNAcentral also lists the same sequence under 3 other names. The record is from Rfam by way of RNAcentral.
GCCUGGGUGGCUCAGUCAGUUAAGCAUCUGACUUCAGCUCAGGUCAUGAUCCUACAGUUCAUGGGUUCGAGCCCCACACUGGGCU